Molecule: ribosomal RNA, 274 nt
Filed under: uncultured bacterium
Lineage: Bacteria
Description: partial 16S ribosomal RNA
Rfam family: Bacterial small subunit ribosomal RNA
Source: RNAcentral
AUACGGAGGGUGCGAGCGUUACUCGGAGUCACUGGGCGUAAAGCGUCCGUAGGCGGUCGGGUAAGUCGGGUGUGAAAGCCCCGGGCUCAACCUGGGAAGUACACCCGAUACUGCUCGACUCGAGUGCGGGAGAGGAUGGCGGAAUUCCCGGUGUAGCGGUGAAAUGCGUAGAGAUCGGGAGGAACACCAGUGGCGAAGGCGGCCAUCUGGCCCGCAACUGACGCUGAGGGACGAAAGCGUGGGGAGCAAACAGGAUUAGAAACCCUAGUAGCCC